RNAcentral lists this unclassified non-coding RNA (373 nucleotides) under fungal sp. Its description in RNAcentral is "partial internal transcribed spacer region". The stretch from base 1 to 46 matches the Rfam family "Eukaryotic small subunit ribosomal RNA", at positions 1786 to 1831 of the family's 1831-position model. Lineage: Eukaryota; Fungi. The record is from RNAcentral.
AAGUCGUAACAAGGUUUCCGUAGGUGAACCUGCGGAAGGAUCAUUAUCACGUAUCCACGUAUCAACCAUUGUGAACUGUUGCGACCGUUGAAAAUUUUGGAAAGAGUUGUUGUAAUAAACGUUUGUUUUUUUUUUUAAUUAAGAAAACAACAAACAAUAGUGAUUUGAAAUUGUUUGAGUUUAUUAUAACCUACAAUCAAAUUGUCUUUCUAAUUUUUAACGAGUAUUUAAUUUUCAAAUCAUUAUUAACUAUUUAAACCCAAUUUAAUUCAAUUUUGAACUGAAUUAAUUUCUUACUUACAUUAAUUUGUAAGAAGAAAUAAAUUUUUACGAAACAUAAGAACAACUCUUAGCAACGGAUAUCUUGGUUCUC